RNAcentral lists this long non-coding RNA (731 nucleotides) under Phoenix dactylifera (date palm). RNAcentral describes it as "long non-coding RNA (PDAC_LNC018872)". The record is from RNAcentral. Lineage: Eukaryota; Viridiplantae; Streptophyta; Magnoliopsida; Arecales; Arecaceae.
AAUUAGGGAGAAGUUAAGUGAUAUAGGAAUCAAGAUCUAACCCCAAAAGGAUGCUUUGUAUAUUAGUUUUCUAUCAAUUAAAAAAUUCAAAAUAGAUAAGCAAACCUACUUUCAAUUUUCUAUAUUUUACUUUUUAGUUUUAUAAGAGGCACGAGUUCAAAAGAUUGAAGAAAUUGCUUCCACCUCUUUUCAAUCAACUAGUAUAAUCGGUAGAACUAGAUAACUGUUAGUUUGUAAAUUUGAGGUCUUCUGAAAAAAGGAAAAUGCUAUGGGCUAAAGAGAACCUCAAAUGUGCAUGAGUCAAGGAGAAGAGCAUGCAUGUAGGUGUCCAUGUGAAAAGGGUAGUCUCAUUAAAAAUUACUGAAAGACGUUAACAAAAAAAUGAGAAUAUCAUAUGAUAUAAUAAGUGAUACGAUUUUAAGUUGCACAUAAAAGGAGGUAUGCAAUGGAUUAGAAGGAUUUGAAGAGGGGAGUCUAUGGUUAACAUUUGGUGCAAAAAGGAUGUAGGAUAGGAAGAUUGGCAUUGUAAAUAUACUAGUAAAAUAAUAUUGAUGUGGGUACAGAUCUAUGAACAAUUUAGGACAAAUUUAAAAUUUGCAUGCCUGAGUAGGAAUCGAUUUUAUAUUACUUUUAAUUUUUAUAUUUUCUUAUACACUAUCUUAUCAUACAAAUGUGGAAGAAAUAGACCUCUGUACCCCAACCUGAAUCAUGUAAACCUUGUGCUAUUUUAU